AGUUAUUGUUGCUAGUGGGCUGGGUCGUUACAGAUGGUAUCAGAGCCGGUUCACCAGCUGGACAUGUGUGGCGAGUCUCGGCUGAGCCAGGGUCUGGAUGACGGGCUAGCGAGACGAGUCUCACAUCGCCUGGUGAUCUUGGGCUGUGUGUGUGAUUGGACUGACGAGGACGUCAGGGCCUUAACGGGGGGAGUCUGUGACACCCCAAUAGUCCCACAUCGGAUGGGAAUGGGGUUGUCAUUGGGUUUAUAAGAGACUUAGACACUAGUAAUAAUAACUGGGCUUAAGCAUUUUGGGCCGGUGGUUGGGCCCAACGAGUUAUUGUUGCUAGUGGGCUGGGUCGUUACAUUUGGUAUCAGAGCCGGUUCACCAGCUGAACAUGUGUGGCGAGUCUCGGCUGAGCCAGGGUCUGGAUGACGGGCUAGCGAGACGAGUCUCACAUAGCCUGGUGAUCUUGGGCUGUGUGUGAUUGCACUGACGAGGACGUCAGGACCUUAACAGGGGGAGUCUGUGACACCCCAAUAGUCCCACAUCGGAUGGGAAUGGGGUUGUCAUUGGGUUUAUAAGAGACUUAGACACUAGUAAUAAUAACUGGGCUUAAGCAUUUUGGGCCGGUGGUUGGGCCCAACGAGUUAUUGUUGCUAGUGGGCUGGGUCGUUACAUUUGGUAUCAGAGCCGGUUCACCAGCUGGACAUGUGUGGCGAGUCUCGGCUGAGCCAGGGUCUGGAUGACGGGCUAGCGAGAUGAGUCUCACAUCGCCUGGU
This 764-nucleotide long non-coding RNA is filed under the name Ananas comosus (pineapple). Its description in RNAcentral is "long non-coding RNA (ACOM_LNC009916)". Lineage: Eukaryota; Viridiplantae; Streptophyta; Magnoliopsida; Poales; Bromeliaceae. The record is from RNAcentral.